Molecule: long non-coding RNA, 329 nt
Filed under: Ananas comosus (pineapple)
Lineage: Eukaryota; Viridiplantae; Streptophyta; Magnoliopsida; Poales; Bromeliaceae
Description: long non-coding RNA (ACOM_LNC001704)
Source: RNAcentral
UACAUAUUUUUUAUAUUUAUAUUAUUUAUUUAAUUUAUAUUUAUAUAUAAAUAAAUAAUUAUAUAUAUAAUAUAUAUUUUUAUUAUUUAAUUUUUAGCAAAAUAAAAAAUAUAAAGCGAGCUUAAUUAUAAAAAGACUAAUUUAUAAGUAAAGUUUCAAUUAUUAGAUCAAAGUCUAAUAGAUAAAAUUUUAUAAAUUUAUUUUUUAUAUAUAUUCAAUCUAAUCCUUUUAACUUAUUAUUCGUUGGCCAGCUCGUGAGCCAGCUCGUGUUCGGCUCGUUUAUUAACGAGCCGAACAUGAGCUAAAUUUUUCAGCUCGAUAUUUUAACG